This 336-nucleotide unclassified non-coding RNA is filed under the name Hevea brasiliensis (rubber tree). The record is from RNAcentral. Lineage: Eukaryota; Viridiplantae; Streptophyta; Magnoliopsida; Malpighiales; Euphorbiaceae.
GAAGUUAAUUUCCAGAGAAAUUGUCCAGAGGCACUGAGAUGCACUCAUAACAAGCUAGCAUUUCACUUCAUUCUUGGUUGGAUGUAUAUGUAAUUAUGUAUAAGUCUCCAAAGUCAUACAAGAACAGUAUCUAUAAUGUAUUUAACUGUAAUACAUAGCUCAGGGACACGUCCAUUUUAGUUAACCAUAACCCAAUGUUUGAAAAUAUGUGGAAAGUACUAAACAAUCAAACUACUUUCUGUUAACCCUUUAAAAAUAAUCUCCUUUUCAAGUAAUCCCUCAACAAAGAAAUUAAAAAAAAAAAAGUAGAUUCUGAUUCUUUUAAAUAAGAUGAGU